GACGAACGCUGGCGGCGUGCUUAACACAUGCAAGUCGAACGGGGUAGCAAUACCCAGUGGCGGACGGGUGAGUAACGCGUAGGAAUCUGCCUUUAGAUGGGGGAUAGCAGACCGAAAGGUCUAUUAAUACCGCAUAUGUAUGCACUUAGACAUUUGUGCAUAUGAAAGGAGUAAUCUGUCUGAAGAUGAGCCUGCGUCCGAUUAGCUAGUUGGUAGGUAACGCCACCAAGGCGACGAUCGGUAGGUGGUCUGAGAGGAUGAUCACCACAAUGGGACUGAGACACGGCCCAUACUCCUACGGGAGGCAGCAGUGGGGAAUUUUGUGCAAUGGGCGAAAGCCUGACACAGCGACACCGCGUGAACGAAGAAGG
This 371-nucleotide ribosomal RNA is filed under the name uncultured bacterium. RNAcentral's name for it is "bacterial SSU rRNA". It matches the Rfam family "Bacterial small subunit ribosomal RNA", at positions 28 to 414 of the family's 1533-position model. The record is from RNAcentral.